This 521-nucleotide ribosomal RNA is filed under the name Camaroptera brevicaudata. RNAcentral's name for it is "partial 16S ribosomal RNA". It matches the Rfam family "Bacterial large subunit ribosomal RNA", at positions 1849 to 2575 of the family's 2925-position model. Lineage: Eukaryota; Metazoa; Chordata; Aves; Passeriformes; Cisticolidae. The record is from RNAcentral.
AAGGUGAUGCCUGCCCGGUGACUUAAUGUUAAACGGCCGCGGUAUCCUAACCGUGCGAAGGUAGCGCAAUCAAUUGUCCCAUAAAUCGGGACCCGUAUGAAUGGCUAAACGAGGUCUUAACUGUCUCUUACAGGCAAUCGGUGAAAUUGAUCUCCCUGUGCAAAAGCAGGGAUAUAACCAUAAGACGAGAAGACCCUGUGGAACUUUAAAAACAGCAACCACCCCAAAAUACAUUCACCCCCACCCCGGGCUCACUUAUCUAUUGGGACGAUGGUCUGCAUUUUUUCGGUUGGGGCGACCUUGGAGCAAAACAGAACCUCCAAACAUGGGACCAUAACUCCAGACUAAGAGCAACCCCUCAAAGUGCUAAUAGCCACCAGAUCCAAUUUUAUUGAUCAAUGGACCAAGCUACCCCAGGGAUAACAGCGCAAUCUCCUCCGAGAGUCCAUAUCGAAGGGGAGGUUUACGACCUCGAUGUUGGAUCAGGACAUCCUAGUGGUGCAGCCGCUACUAAGGGUUCG